AGCGAACGCUGGCGGUAGGCCUAACACAUGCAAGUCGAACGGCAGCACAGUAAGAGCUUGCUCUUACGGGUGGCGAGUGGCGGACGGGUGAGGUAUACAUCGGAAUCUACUUUUUCGUGGGGGAUAACGUAGGGAAACUUACGCUAAUACCGCAUACGACCUACGGUUGAAAGCAGGGGAUCUUCGGACCUUGCGCGAUUGAAUGAGCCGAUGUCGGAUUAGCUAGUUGGCGGGGUAAAGGCCCACCAAGGCGACGAUCCGUAGCUGGUCUGAGAGGAUGAUCAGACACACUGGAAGUGAGACAGGGUCAAGACGCCUGCGGGAGGCAGCAGUGGGGAAUAUUGGGCAAUGGGCGCAAGCCUGAUCCAGCCAGACCGCGUGGGUGAAGAAGGCGUUCGGGUUGUAAAGCCCUUUUGUUGGGAAAGAAAAGCAGCAGGUUAAUACCCCGCGGUUCUGAUGGUACCGAGAGAAUAAGCACCGGCUAACUUCGUG
This 492-nucleotide ribosomal RNA is filed under the name uncultured bacterium. RNAcentral's name for it is "partial 16S ribosomal RNA". It matches the Rfam family "Bacterial small subunit ribosomal RNA", at positions 29 to 507 of the family's 1533-position model. The record is from RNAcentral.